Molecule: ribosomal RNA, 253 nt
Filed under: uncultured bacterium
Lineage: Bacteria
Description: partial 16S ribosomal RNA
Rfam family: Bacterial small subunit ribosomal RNA
Source: RNAcentral
UACGUAAGUGGCGAGCGUUAUCCGGAAUUACUGGGCGUAAAGCGUGCGUAGGCGGUUUAGUGUGUGGGAAUUGAAAGCCCGGGGCUCAACUCCGGAUCCGGUUCCCAAACUGCUAGACUCGAGAGUAUCAGAGGAGAGCGGAAUUCCCGGUGUAGCGGUAAUAUGCGUAGAUAUCGGGAGGAACACCCGUAGCGAAGGCGGCACUCUGGGCCGGAACUGACGCUGAGGAGCGAAAGCGUGGGGAGCAAACAGG